This 377-nucleotide ribosomal RNA is filed under the name uncultured bacterium. RNAcentral describes it as "bacterial SSU rRNA". It matches the Rfam family "Bacterial small subunit ribosomal RNA", at positions 28 to 406 of the family's 1533-position model. The record is from RNAcentral.
GACGAACGCUGGCGGCGUGCUUAACACAUGCAAGUCGAGCGGUAAGGCCCUUUCGGGGGUACACGAGCGGCGAACGGGUGAGUAACACGUGGGUGACCUGCCCUCAGCUCUGGGAUAAGCCUGGGAAACCGGGUCUAAUACCGGAUAUGACUCCAUGACGCAUGUUGUGGGGUGGAAAGCCUUGUGCGGCUGAGGAUGGGCCCGCGGCCUAUCAGCUUGUUGGUGGGGUGAUGGCCUACCAAGGCGACGAUCGGUAGCUGGUCUGAGAGGACGACCAGCCACACUGGGACUGAGACACGGCCCAGACUCCUACGGGAGGCAGCAGUGGGGAAUAUUGGACAAUGGGCGCAAGCCUGAUCCAGCGAUGCCGCGUGUGU